AACAAAAACCAAAAAAAAAUU
This 21-nucleotide small RNA is filed under the name Arabidopsis thaliana (thale cress). Its description in RNAcentral is "ATSL112840". Lineage: Eukaryota; Viridiplantae; Streptophyta; Magnoliopsida; Brassicales; Brassicaceae. The record is from RNAcentral.